AACGAACGCUGGCGGCAGGCCUAACACAUGCAAGUCGAGCGGGGGCGCAAGCCCUAGCGGCGGACGGGUGAGUAACGCGUGGGAACGUACCCUUUGGUUCGGAAUAGCCCUGGGAAACUGGGAGUAAUACCGGAUGAGCUCUUCGGAGGAAAGAUUUAUCGCCAAAGGAUCGGCCCGCGUUGGAUUAGGUAGUUGGUGGGGUAAUGGCCUACCAAGCCGACGAUCCAUAGCUGGUUUGAGAGGAUGAUCAGCCACACUGGGACUGAGACACGGCCCAGACUCCUACGGGAGGCAGCAGUGGGGAAUCUUAGACAAUGGGCGCAAGCCUGAUCUAGCCAUGCCGCGUGAGCGAUGAAGGCCUUAGGGUUGUAAAGCUCUUUCGUGG
Molecule: ribosomal RNA, 385 nt
Filed under: uncultured bacterium
Lineage: Bacteria
Description: bacterial SSU rRNA
Rfam family: Bacterial small subunit ribosomal RNA
Source: RNAcentral